This 163-nucleotide ribosomal RNA is filed under the name uncultured bacterium. RNAcentral describes it as "partial 16S rRNA". It matches the Rfam family "Bacterial small subunit ribosomal RNA", at positions 355 to 510 of the family's 1533-position model. The record is from RNAcentral.
UAGGGAAUCUUCGGCAAUGGACGAAAGUCUGACCGAGCAACGCCGCGUGAGUGAAGAAGGUUUUCGGAUCGUAAAACUCUGUUGUUAGAGAAGAACAAGGGUGAGAGUAACUGUUCACCCCUUGACGGUAUCUAACCAGAAAGCCACGGCUAACUACGUGCCG